This 433-nucleotide unclassified non-coding RNA is filed under the name soil metagenome. Its description in RNAcentral is "partial contains 5.8S ribosomal RNA, internal transcribed spacer 2, and large subunit ribosomal RNA". The stretch from base 1 to 120 matches the Rfam family "5.8S ribosomal RNA", at positions 35 to 154 of the family's 154-position model. The record is from RNAcentral.
GAUGAAGAACGUAGCGAAAUGCGAUACGUAAUGUGAAUUGCAGAAUUCAGUGAAUCAUCGAAUCUUUGAACGCAUAUUGCGCUCUCUGGUAUUCCGGAGAGCAUGCUUGUUUGAGUAUCAGUAAACACCUCAACUUCCAUAUCUUUUUUGAAAUGGGAGUUGGACUUGAGUGAUCCCAACGCUUUUCCUCACCGAAAAGUGGCGGGUUACUUGAAAUGCCGGUGCAGCUGGACUUUUCUCUGAGCUAUAAGCAUAUCUAUUUAGUCUGCCUAAAAAACAGAUUAUUACCUUUGCUGCAGCUAACAUAAAGGAGAUUAGUUCUUGUGCUGACUGAUGCAGGAUUCACAAAGACAGGCUUCGGCCGACUUUGUAAACUCGAUCUCAAAUCAAGUAAGACUACCCGCUGAACUUAAGCAUAUCAAUAAGCGGAGGA